This is an RNA transcript of Amphibalanus amphitrite, 9892 nucleotides long. It is a transcript of the gene named zwei Ig domain protein zig-8-like, with no coding region annotated. Lineage: Eukaryota; Metazoa; Arthropoda; Thecostraca; Balanomorpha; Balanidae. The transcript is spliced from 4 exons. The record is from RefSeq and is a predicted model, not a curated record.
GCGCCGGCGUGAGACGCAUGGAGUUUGUGCGCCGCCGUUCGCCACAAUGUGAUUCGGUGGAAAAACUUUGGUAUGUUCUUUCAUUAUUUUAUAUUAUUUGCCGUUUCUAUUGCAUUGUUAAUGUGAUAUGAGCCUGAUAUGAUAUUAGAGAUAUUUCGGCGAUAGGUAGACCCAUGUCUAUCGGAUAGAGAGUGAAAAUGCGUUUCUGGCUGAUUUCAGAAACCUACCUACAUUCUACAUUCUACAUUCUACGUUGCUACACUGCUACUACUUCUAUCUACGGUCCGCAUUUCUCCGCUAUGCCGCUGUCUUAUUUGUCCGUUCCUACCACCAAUUGUUCACCUAAACAACUUCGCCUUACCAUAUUGUUUUCGCCCUUGGCACGCUGCCAGAUGACCCUUUUGCUAUGAAAGCCUGAAUAUAUUAUUUAUUUGUUUUUAUUUGUAGUGUCUCAAAGCCCUAACCGUUUCCCACAACAGUUUCAAAGUUUCCACAGCCUAGUGAUAUGGUUGUAGGUCUAUGCAAAAGUUUGUCAGAAUGCCCAAGGACUUUCCGAACAUGAUGAACAUGAUGGUAUGAGUGUAUCUCAUUUGAAGAUUCUGUCUUGAUCGCCCGAAGAGGCUUCUCAGGGUGUAGGUCGUGUAAAUGACAGUUUCUUGUGGCGAGAAGUUUUGUACUUGCUGCUGAGAAUUGCAAUUGUGACUCAGUUCCUGAUUGGUGUUGUGCUGUUAAAUCCAGAACAUGUCUGUAGCACAAUUGAAACAGAAGCGAGGCAGAUUGUUAGCUGCACUGACCAGGGUCAGGAGGAGGGCUUUCGUCUUGAUUGAUACCAGAGGUAGUCGGACUCAGCUAGCGUCAAUCGUCCAUGAGCUUGAUCAGGCACUCGAGCAGUUGGAGGAGAUGACUGAUAGUUUAGUUUCUGUGCUGACAUCUCAAGAGGAAGUUGAUCAGGCAAGAGUGUAUCAAGCAGAAGCAGACAGGCAGCAUGAAGAAGCCGUGACCCGGAUUGAAGUGCAUUUGAAGGAGAGGAAGGAUGAUCCACCAUCAGUUGCAUCAAAGCAGGCGUCAGACUCUGCAGCAUCAGACAAGACGUCAGCAUCCCGGCUGGCAGAGAUAGAGGCCAAGGUGAAGCAGCUAGAGCUGGAGCAGCUGCACCAAAGGCUUGAGACGGAGAAGGAAGAGCAACAGAUCCAGAGGAAGAUGAAGCUACAAGAAGCAAAGGAUGCUCAUGCAGCCGCCGAGCUGCGUGCACAGUUGGCAAGAGCAGCUGAAGAUGACCUAGCGUGGGACCGGAGAAAUUAUUUCUGUGGUGAGACCAAGGUCUGGGAAGCCCAAGGGGCACCUAGUGAAGAAGCUGGUUCGACUCAUCUCAGCCGAGCCAUCCCACCAGCUGCACGAGCUGUCCAAGGGGCAGCCACUGUUGAAGUAGCCGGUCUGUCUCGUCCCAGCCACACCAUCUCACCGGCCGUUGGAGCUGUCCAAGGGGUAGCCACUGUUGAAGUAGCCGGUCCGUCUCGUCCCAGCCACACCAUCUCACCGGCCGUUGGAGCUGUCCAAGGGGUAGCCACUGUUGAAGUAGCCGGUCCGUCUCGUCCAAGCCACACCAUCUCACCGGCCGUUGGAGCUGUCCAAGGGGUAGCCACUGUUGAAGAAGCUGGUUCGUCACGUCCCAGCCACACCAUCUCACCGGCCGUUGGAGCUGCCCAAGGGGCACUCGGCGCCGACACAGCUGAUUUGUUCUAUUACAGUCAUGUUCCCCCACCGGCUGUUGGAGCUGCCCGAGGGGCACCCACUACUGAACUAGCCGGUCAGUUUCGACCCACAGCCAGUGAUGCAGUCGCCCAAGGGGCGCCUUGUGUUCCAUCGCUGCUGCACAAUAGUCUUCCGCGCUUGACUCUGCCGAAGUUCGGCGGCGAGUCGGCCGAGUGGCCGAAGUGGUGGGCUUCUUUUAAAGUUUUAGUACAUGAACAGAUCUCACUCUCCCCAACAGAAAAACUGAUACACCUGCAAGCAUCAGUGGUGGGUACUGCUAAGCUCACCAUCAGUGGGAUGAUGUUUGAUGGGGCCCUAUAUGAAGAGGCGGUGCAUGCUCUGCAGGACAGGUUUGGCCGCCAGGAAGAUGUUGUACACGCGUACCUGCAAGAGAUCUUCUCCUGCCCUGCGCCCUCCCAACUAGAUCCUGUUGGACUAGAGCGCCUGCACGCAUCAGUCCACUGUGCUGUCAUGAUAUUCAGGAGUCUCGGCUACGAUGGGGAUCUGAAUAGUUUCGAGAACCUCAGACGAGUUGUUCAAAGGCUCCCAUCUGAGAUGAAACGUCUAUGGGGAGAAUAUGUCUUGAACCUGGGAGAGAGGCCGACACUGGUGCACUUUGACGAAUGGCUUCGCAGGCAGGUCAGGGUGGCCCUCAACUACGCUGCCGUGUCUCCACAGCAGAAUACGGCGACUGGCAAGAAGCCGGCAGGACAGCCUCAGCGGUGGAAGGGCGACGUGAAGCUGAGGCCCGUCCAAAGAAGUGCUCUGGCCACAGAGAUUGAUACAUCAGGGACGACUUGUGUAUGCUGCAAGGACCAGCAUGAGGUGACAACGUGUCCGAUUUUCUUGAAGAAAUCGGUUGAUGAAAGAGCCCACUUCAUCGCCAGUGCGAGGUGCUGUUUCUUCUGUCUGAAGGCUGGACAUGGCGUUCGGCACUGUCGCUCGGCAAGGCCGUGCGGCAUCGACAGCUGCAAGAUGAGACAUCAUCAGGUGCUCCAUGGCAGCAAGAGGGUCGACCUCAGGAACACUGGCCAGCGCGUGGUAGCAGCAGCAUCAGUGAAGGCGGGCGCGACCACAAUCCUGCUGCAGGUCGUACCAGUCACCGUCCUUGCCAGUGGUGGCAAGGAAAAGCAGGUUUGGGCUCUACUAGACCCUGGUUCUCAGACUUCACUGGUGUCCGAAGAGGUAAUGACACAGCUGAAUCUUCAAGGGGAGCCACAAACCCUCCGCCUGCAAAACGUGGAAGGAUGCGGGCGCCUCCAGAACUCCGUGAAGAUGAAACUGGAGCUCAAGGCGUCAGGUGGCGACGGAUCAAGAAUAGUGGUCCCUGAAGUUUUCUCCGUCAGGGACAUCAACGUUACGGUUCCAGAGCUCCCUGACAAGAGGAUCGAAUGGAAGCACCUGCUGGACCUCGACCUUCCAGACUGCUCAGGGAAGAGGGUCGAUCUUCUUCUCGGCGCCAACGUCCUUGAAGCGGUGCUUCAGCUGGAAGCGAGGACAGGGAAGGCGGGCCAACCGGUGGCCAUCAGAACCGCCUUCGGGUGGACGCUGACGGGCACGGUGAAGGGAUUCCUGCCAGAACGAACGCGCCAGGUGAUGCUGAUCAGGAAGAUGGCUCCAGACGAUCAACUGUCAGCAGCACUCCAGGAGUGGUGGAGCACGGAAUCGUUUGGGAGCAGGUUUGAAGGCCAGGAUGCCAAAUCUCCCCAAGACGUCAGAGCCGUGAAGAUCAUGGAAGACACAACCAGGAGACUGGACAAUCGCUACGAGACGGGACUCCUGUGGAUGAGUGAUGAUGUGUGCCUACCUGAUAACAAGAUGAUGGCGGCCAACCGGCUGUACUCCCUGGAGAAGACCCUGAUGCGACAAUCUGAGAAAGCGGAAGCUUAUAAGAAGGUUGUCGAGGGAUACGUCGAGCGCGGAUUCGCUCGCAAGCUAACCCCAGAAGAAGAUCAAGAAGCACACCCAAGGAAGUGGUACCUGCCACAUCAUGGUGUAACGAACCCCCGGAAGCCCGGGAAGCUCAGAGUAGUGUUUGAUGCGGCUGCCAAGUGUGGCAACACUUCUCUGAAUGAUGUGCUGCUCACGGGACCUGACCUUCUUAAGAACCUGCCCGGCAUCCUCCUGAGGUUCAGAGAGGAACCCGUCGCUCUGACCGCUGAUAUCGAGUGUAUGUACCACCAGGUCCAGAUAACUCCGCAAGAUCAACCAGCACUGAGGUUCCUCUGGAGAGAUUUGGAUGCAACGAAGCAACCAGAACCAUACACCAUGCAGGUCGCGAUCUUCGGGGCCAGAAGCAGUCCCGCAUCAGCAAACUUCGUCCUGCAGCAGACCGCUAAGGACUGCAGCAGUAGCACCCCGGCAGGGAGAGCAGCUAGAGAAGCGGCACUUACAAGCUUUUAUAUGGAUGACUUCAUCCACGCUACGAGAACCGAAGAAGAGGCAGCUGAGAUGCAAACCGAGGUGACAGAACUUCUCAGAAGAGGGGGGUUCAGGCUGACAAAGUGGAUGAGCAGCUCGCGGAAGGUCUUGGAACGGAUCGAAGCCGCAGAGCGCGUUCAAGACAUCGAUGUCGCGGUUCAGAGUGUGCUAGGCUGCGCCUGGAACACCAUCAACGACACCUUGGGAGUCAGAGCUGUUGACUCACGUGUACCGUCAACGAAGAGAGGAGUAGUGCAAGGAGUAGCUCGACUAUUCGACCCUCUGGGCCUAGUCGCUCCGUUCUCUCUCCAGGCUAAAGUUCUCAUUCAACGCCUCUGGGCGGGGAACUACGACUGGGACGAUGAGCUCGAGGGGACGGAGCUGCAGAGGUGGUCUCAGUGGCUCUCGGAGUUACACUAUCUGGAGCGGGUAACCGUCCCGCGAUGCUUCGGAGGCGGGUCGGCAAGUGACGGCUGUCGGAGAGAGCGUCACAUCUUCUGUGAUGCUUCUCAGGAUGCCUUCGGUGCUGCCGCGUACGUCGCUACGACGAUGCCUGAUGGUCGCCGCGUCUGCUCCUUGGCUAUGGCGAAGACCAGGGUGGCACCCCUCAAGCAGAUCUCAAUUGUAAGGCUGGAGUUGCAAGCAGCUGUGCUGGGCGUCAGAGUAGCAAACGUGCUACGGACGGAGCUGUCGGUCAGGGUGGAUAGGGUCCUAUUCUGGACCGACAGCACAGUUGUUCUGCAGUAUGUGAAAAAUGACAGCCGCCGCUUUCACACAUUUGUCGCUAAUAGGGUGGCAGAAAUUCGAGAGUCUUCUUGCCCUGACCAGUGGCGACACGUGCCGUCGAGUCUGAACGCAGCUGACGUUGUUUCCAGGGGAGCUACGUUGUCUGACCUGUCAUCAGAUUCUCGCUGGAGUGCGGGUCCUGGGUUCCUGCUCCAGGAGGAGAACUGCUGGCCGGAACAGCCAUCUCUCACGAGUACGGCUGUACUGAAAAACGACCCAGAAGUGAGGACGGAAUCGGUCAUGCUCACUGUGAAGCAUGACUCUGAUACUACGGUGCUUCCCGACGCUUCGAGAUUCUCUUCGUGGACGAAGUACAGAAGAACCGUGGCAUGGGUACUGAGGUUUGUGAAGAACUGUGCCCCAAAGUCCUGUCAGGAACGAGCAGACCGGAGACGCGCAGGACCUCUGUCAGCAGAGGAACUGAAGCUAGCAGAGACGAAGGUACUGAAAGACUGUCAAGCUAGAUGCUUCCCUGAAGAACUGGCAGAGAUCCAAGCUGGCAAAGAAGUGAAGACUGAAGGGAAACUGCGACAAGUGACACCUUUCCUGGAUGGUGAGGGUGUGAUGAGAGUCGGUGGGCGUAUCGACAAAGCGCCCGUGGCCUAUUCGACUCGCCACCCGGUGAUCCUGCCAUCGAGAGACGACGUUACUCGCCUGGUAGUGACGCACUGCCAUGUGAAGGUUCUUCACUCAGGACAAGAAAGAACGUUGACAGAAGUCAGGAAGACAUAUUGGAUUCUGAAGGCCCGCUCGACAGUCCGGAGGAUCCUACACGAGUGUACCGUGUGCAAAAGACGAAGAGCGAUUGCGCAGGUCCCAAGAAUGGCAGAGCUGCCGGCCAGCCGGUAUGACACGUCCAGAGCUUUCAGCACGGUAGGAGUCGACUACUUCGGGCCAAUGUUCGUGAAGAAGUACAGGAGGACCGAGAAGAGAUACGGCGUCUUGUUCACCUGCUUCUCGACCCGCGCAGUACACCUGGAGGUAGCAAACGCUUUAGAUACGGACAGUUUCGUCAUGGCACUGAGGAGAUUCAUGGCAAGGAGAGGGAAGCCAGACUCAAUGUACUCUGACAAUGGGACGAACCUCGUCGGAGGUGAACGUGAGCUCCGUGAGUCUCUACAUGAACUCGACCAAACUCGCAUUACUGACGAACUGAGUCAGGAAAACAUUAAGUGGACUUUCAUGCCUCCCAGCGCCAGCCACAUGGGCGGCGUAUGGGAAAGGCUGGUGGGCAGCGUAAAGCGCGCGCUCAGAGUAACUAUCGGAUCUCAGUGUGUGACCGAUGAAGUACUCCACACUGCUCUGCUCGAGGUGGAGUCAAUGAUCAAUGGACGGCCGCUGACACACGUCAGUCCUGACAGUACGGAUAUUGAGCCACUGACGCCAAAUCACCUUCUGCUCGGGUGUGCCAGCGCCAACAUGUCUCCUGGCAUAUUUCAAGACAGAGAGAUCAGCAGCAAACGACGUUGGCGUCAGUCACAAGUACUGGCAGAACAUUUUUGGAAGAGAUGGCGAAAUGAAUAUGUACCAACACUAGCCAGUCGGCAGAAGUGGUUGCGCGAGAGAAGAAAUCUCAAAGUUGAAGACGUCGUGCUGAUGAUUGAGGCAGACUCGCCACGCGGGUUCUGGCCCCUGGCCCGAGUUACAAGAGUGUUCCCGGGCUCGGACGGAGUAGUUCGUACCGUGGAACUGAUGGCAGCGGGGGGAGGCAAGUACCGGCGCCCGGUCAGCAAAGUGUGCCUCCUGGAGGAGGCUGAAUAAGCUCAGAACUGUUCUGUGUCAGAACUGUGUUGAAGGAUGGCUGUUAUGUUGGUGACGACAGUGCUGUCCUAUCACGUAUAUCCCAAGUAUCCUAUGUUUUCCUUUUGUUUCUUCCUAACAGAUCCCUCCUGAUGGCGGCUAGCUGCGGCGGAGGUGCUCGUCGGCUGAGGUGAGCUGGAGUCCUCCGAAGCUGCGUCCGGGGACGCUCAUCGGCGGCGGCGAGCUGGUGCUCUCCGAGGCUGCGGCGAGCUGGUGCGCUCGUCAGCUGCGGCGAGCUGGUGCUCUCCGAGGCGGCGGUGAGCUGGUGCUCUCCGAGGCUGCGGCGAGCUGGUGCGCUCGUCGGCUGCGGCGAGCUGGUGCUCUCCAAGGCCGCGGCGAGCUGGUGUUCUCCGGAGCUGUGGCAGAGACGCUCGUCGGCUGCGGCGAGCUGGUGCUCUCCGAGGCUGCGGCGACCUGGUGGUUCUCCGGAGCUAGUACUGCGGGAGCUCGCCUGCCGCACGGAGCUGGUGGCAGUGGGCGGCGGAGAUGACUGCUGCUCUCCGGAGCUGUGACUUCGGCAGCGAAGCCGAUACCGUGCGAGGCGUGGUGUCUUCAGGAUGAACGCUGUAUAUGUGUGCGCGCGGCUGUGGCUGCUGAGUGGGCAACGUACCGAAGAGGUUUUGUGUUCAGGCUUCCGUUAUCCCCGCUCAACGAGGUGUCAUUACGACACCGGGGGGAGGAUGUAGCGGACUGAGCCGGAGCGGGUUGGCCUGUGCGUUGCUCGACAGGUGGCGCUAGUUGUGGACACAGGGGGCGACGAUGUUCGUACUGACCAUUGGAUGGUGGCGCCACCCUAAGCCAGUGGUGGCGCAGAGAGUCCAGUGCGCCGCCCAUCGACGUGGCGUUUUUUGGCUGUGUGGCGCCGGCGUGAGACGCAUGGAGUUUGUGCGCCGCCGUUCGCCACAAUGUGAUUCGGUGGAAAAACUUUGUGCCCGAGACCAGGAUUCUGGGGGAGACAGAGAUCUACGUGGACCUCGGAAGCACUCUGAACCUGACCUGCACUGUCUCAUCGAGUCCCGUGCCGACUGAGUUCAUCUUCUGGUAUCGCAACGAAACGGUUGUCAACUACAGCGCGCCACCAGGCCGGGUUACCGUCAUCACUGAGGACUCUGCCGCCGCGACCACCAACUCGUACCUCAUGAUACGGAACGCACGUGUCGAGGACUCGGGCAUCUACACGUGCACCCCCUCCAACGCCAACGUGGCCAAGGUCAAGGUCCACGUGCUGAAAGGGGAGAAGCCUGCCGCGAUGCAGACCAACGGAGUCGCGACGAUAUCGGCCGCCCUGUCACUGGUCGUCAUGGCAACCGCUCGGUGGCUGAUCUAGGGCUCCAGAUACCGCGCGGCCCACUGGUGACGUCACACCUCCUGACGCGAUGACGUCACUAGUGGUGACGCGUUUGGGUCGGGCUUUACCUGUCCAACCGGCGGGGGCAGGUCGUGGCUUGGAAAAUAAAGCCAAUGAAGCGGUGCUAAGGCUCAGACCUGUGCUGAUGGAAGCUGCUGCUAGGCUGGCGACGGGUGACGAUUCGCAGCCGAGGUAUGCUGAAACGUAACCCCGAACUGCGCUGUGACCUGUGACGUCAGAGGUCACUGACCGAGUGUUCUCCGUCAGCUGUCAGCCGCUAGCGGACAGAUCAGGCAGUGAAUCACAUGGUGGCUACAAAUUAGGUGGACCACUGACAACAGGAAGCCGUGAUGACGUCAUCAGAAGAGACGUUCCCGACUGGUGCGUAAAACAAAGGCCGGGUCGAGAGUGCUCAGCUGAGGGCCGUGGUUACAGUCUACAGAUGUGGUGAAAUCAGAGGGGUUCUAUCGAAUAGGCUGGGACAGAGCCGGGCCUGGGUCUACGGUAAGAGAGACAGGACGAAUGCUAUCGUCUAAUUUAUGUAGCGUCGAGGUUCGUAAUGUUGACUGUACCUUUUGUUUUCAAAUGACGCAAAGAUGGCUCCGAAGGCUACUAAGAUAUGAAUUACUGAAUAUCGAUGACAAAUGUUAGGCUUUUUUUUAAUCUGUAGGGUUCAUUGCGUUGUAUUUUUUUCCGGAAUGGUUGAGACGAGGUGUUAGUAUAAGAGAAGCUGGGUGUUAAGCUCUCGUUCCCGUCUUGAAUUAGUUGUUAUCUUCACUGCUGUUCACUGCUGUGAACUGCUGUGCUGGUUUUGUUCGGUUGAGGAAAUCGUAUAUUGUGAGCAAAUGUGAAAGAGUGUGUUCGUGGAUUCUAUACGUACGAAGCUCGUUGUGUCACGCGGCAUUGUGAGUGUUCUUUGUGACUGCCUGUUCCCCAAGAGCUUCUUUGUUAACAAAAUGUGAGCUGUUUUGUCUCUCAGUGAUGUACAACGGUCAUUUACUUUCCGACAUUUAUUAUUCCGCGCGGAGUCCACCGUAGACUCUAGUGGGGGUCAGCGGGCGUGCUUCGAAUGUUCUCCGACCUUAAUUUCCACCACCCAUUUGAAUCUGACCUCAGAGGGAUUUAUCAUUGCCCCCAUCGCAGCUAGUUUUUCUACCUGACUGAUUCGUCGAUAUAUUGCGACUGCGUUUAUCGGAGCAGUGAAGUGACCAUCCUGGACAGACCCAUUGCCCGUCCCAGACACUCGCAUUAUGGGGUCGGUCGGGCUCUCAGAUACCGCCUGCGGCUAGCAGACGGACUCUACUCUGAUUGGCCGGGUUCAGCACCGCCCGCCGGCGUUCGACUGGGCCGGCCGCCGAGCGAAUUCGAAUGUGGCAGAGGAGAGCUCAUGGCAUCUCUGCCGGGAUCUCAUCCGAUUUAUCGGCGCCAGAUAUUGAAGUUUCCCAGUAGAUUUAUGGGGCCGCUGCGUAGUGAGCCGUCGCGAAAAACGUGAGCAUGAUGUCGUCAGUAAAUCGUCGGCAUCCGCUGUUGACGCGAGCGCGGCGGCCCGGUCCGGAAGGGGUCCAUUACUGCGGGCGCGACCGGGGAACGGUGUACAGUUUGUUUGGAGAUGUCGUCAUGACCGAGAAAUGCGAGAGCCGCGGCCAGCCUGUCGCCUGGCAUUGCUUGGAAGGACGAUUUGUCUUUCGGAUACUGCGAAUGUCAGUGAUGUUGUUGCGGGUGAAUGUUGACACGGCCAUUCGAGCUGAAAUAAAGUCCCGUUGUGUUCGUGUAUUUACAAAACAA